RNAcentral lists this ribosomal RNA (253 nucleotides) under uncultured bacterium. RNAcentral's name for it is "partial 16S ribosomal RNA". It matches the Rfam family "Bacterial small subunit ribosomal RNA", at positions 524 to 776 of the family's 1533-position model. The record is from RNAcentral.
UACGUAGGGGGCUAGCGUUGUCCGGAAUCAUUGGGCGUAAAGAGCGUGUAGGCGGCCCGGUAAGUCCGCUGUGAAAGUCGGGGGCUCAACCCUCGGAUGCCGGUGGAUACUGUCGGGCUCGAGUACGGAAGAGGCGAGUGGAAUUCCUGGUGUAGCGGUGAAAUGCGCAGAUAUCAGGAGGAACACCGAUUGCGAAGGCAGCUCGCUGGGACGUGACUGACGCUGAGACGCGAAAGCGUGGGGAGCAAACAGG